Molecule: unclassified non-coding RNA, 348 nt
Filed under: soil metagenome
Description: partial contains 5.8S ribosomal RNA, internal transcribed spacer 2, and large subunit ribosomal RNA
Rfam family: 5.8S ribosomal RNA (bases 1-120)
Source: RNAcentral
GAUGAAGAACGUAUCGAAAUGCGAUAAGUAAUGUGAAUUGCAGAAUUCAGUGAAUCAUCGAGUCUUUGAACGCACAUUGCGCCCCCUGGUAUUCCGGGGGGCAUGCCUGUCCGAGCGUCAUUGCUGCCCUCAAGCACGGCUUGUGUGUUGGGCCCCCGUCCCCGGUUUCCCCCGGGGACGGGCCCGAAAGGCAGCGGCGGCACCGCGUCCGGUCCUCGAGCGUAUGGGGCUUUGUCACCCGCUCUGUAGGCCCGGCCGGCGCCAGCCGACACCCAACUUUAUUUCUAAGGUUGACCUCGGAUCAGGUAGGGAUACCCGCUGAACUUAAGCAUAUCAAUAAGCGGAGGA